UGGGGAAUAUUGCACAAUGGGCGCAAGCCUGAUGCAGCCAUGCCGCGUGUAUGAAGAAGGCCUUCGGGUUGUAAAGUACUUUCAGCGGGGAGGAAGGCGAUAAGGUUAAUAACCUUGUCGAUUGACGUUACCCGCAGAAGAAGCACCGGCUAACUCCGUGCCAGCAGCCGCGGUAAUACGGAGGGUGCAAGUGUUAAUCGGAAUUACUGGGCGUAAAGCGCACGCAGGCGGUCUGUCAAGUCGGAUGUGAAAUCCCCGGGCUCAACCUGGGAACUGCAUUCGAAACUGGCAGGCUAGAGUCUUGUAGAGGGGGGUAGAAUUCCAGGUGUAGCGGUGAAAUGCGUAGAGAUCUGGAGGAAUACCGGUGGCGAAGGCGGCCCCCUGGACAAAGACUGACGCUCAGGUGCGAAAGCGUGGGGAGCAAACA
Molecule: ribosomal RNA, 427 nt
Filed under: uncultured bacterium
Lineage: Bacteria
Description: partial 16S ribosomal RNA
Rfam family: Bacterial small subunit ribosomal RNA
Source: RNAcentral